This 468-nucleotide ribosomal RNA is filed under the name uncultured bacterium. RNAcentral describes it as "partial 16S ribosomal RNA". It matches the Rfam family "Bacterial small subunit ribosomal RNA", at positions 28 to 507 of the family's 1533-position model. The record is from RNAcentral.
GACGAACGCUGGCGGCGUGCUUAACACAUGCAAGUCGAACGGAAAGGCCCUGCUUUUGUGGGGUGCUCGAGUGGCGAACGGGUGAGUAACACGUGAGUAACCUGCCCUUGACUUUGGGAUAACUUCAGGAAACUGGGGCGCAUACCGGGUAGGAGCUACUGCUGCAUGUUGGGGGUUGGAAAGAUUCGGCGGUUGGGGAUGGACUCGCGGGUUAUCAGCUUGUUGGUGGGGGAGGGGCUGACCAAGGUUUUGAAGGGUAGCCGGCCUGAGAGGGUUACCGGCCACAUGGGGACUGAGAUACGGCGCAGACUCCUACGGGAGGCAGCAGUGGGGAAUAUUGCACAAUGGGCGGAAGCCUGAUGCAGCAACGCCGCGUGCGGGAUGACGGCCUUCGGGUUGUAAACCGCUUUCGCCUGUGACGAAGCGUGAGUGACGGUAAUGGGUAAAGAAGCACCGGCUAACUACGUG